GGGGAUGUAGCUCUGCUGGGAGAGCGCCGCCGCGGCAGGUCGGAGGCCAGGGGUUCGAGUCCCCUCUUCUCCA
RNAcentral lists this transfer RNA (73 nucleotides) under Micromonospora humi. RNAcentral's name for it is "tRNA_Ala_GGC". It matches the Rfam family "tRNA". From Rfam's summary of the family: Transfer RNA (tRNA) molecules are approximately 80 nucleotides in length. Their secondary structure includes four short double-helical elements and three loops (D, anti-codon, and T loops). Further hydrogen bonds mediate the characteristic L-shaped molecular structure. tRNAs have two regions of fundamental functional importance: the anti-codon, which is responsible for specific mRNA codon recognition, and the 3' end, to which the tRNAs corresponding amino acid is attached (by aminoacyl-tRNA synthetases). tRNAs cope with the degeneracy of the genetic code in two manners: having more than one tRNA (with a specific anti-codon) for a particular amino acid; and 'wobble' base-pairing, i.e. permitting non-standard base-pairing at the 3rd anti-codon position. The record is from RNAcentral. Lineage: Bacteria; Bacillati; Actinomycetota; Actinomycetes; Micromonosporales; Micromonosporaceae.